GCUGGGCAUGGUGGUGCAUACCUGUAAUCCCAGCUACUCAGGAGGCUGAGGCAGGAGAAUUGCUUGAACCUGGGAGGCAGAGGUUGCAGUGAGCAGAGAUCAUGCCACUGCACCCCAGCCUGGGAAACAGAGCAAGACUCUGUCUCCA
RNAcentral lists this non-coding RNA (148 nucleotides) under Chlorocebus sabaeus (green monkey). Lineage: Eukaryota; Metazoa; Chordata; Mammalia; Primates; Cercopithecidae. The record is from Rfam by way of RNAcentral.